UUAAGUUCAGCGGGUAGUCCUACCUGAUUUGAGAUCAAACGUUCAAAGAGCUGUCCUCCCAGGGAGAGACAUCUGUGAGCUCCAGCGAACCUCCAUCACUGAAGGUUACAUGGCAGAGAACAACAAGCGUAGAUAGUUAUCACACCUGUGACGCCACCAAACACUGGCAAGCUGAUCCAUUUGAGAGGAGCCGACACUUG
This 200-nucleotide unclassified non-coding RNA is filed under the name Tomentella sp. Its description in RNAcentral is "partial internal transcribed spacer 2". The record is from RNAcentral. Lineage: Eukaryota; Fungi; Basidiomycota; Agaricomycetes; Thelephorales; Thelephoraceae.